Molecule: long non-coding RNA, 5824 nt
Organism: Mus musculus (house mouse)
Lineage: Eukaryota; Metazoa; Chordata; Mammalia; Rodentia; Muridae
Product: predicted gene, 30085
Exons: 4
Source: RefSeq, a predicted model, not a curated record
GGACCUGGUGAUGCCACCCCAGUGGGCUCCCAGCAGCUAGAAAUCAGACACAGUGUCUCCCUGUCAGCUUCAAAGGACUUGUGACCCUCUUGACUUCAGCCCAGUGAAGAUGAUUUAGAUUCCUGGCCUCUUUGCCUGUAUAAAAAUAAAUCUGUGCUUUUUGAGUCACCGAGUUUAUGGUAAUUCAUUACAGCAAAUACCAGGCACUCACAUUAAAAGAAGAAAAAGAGCAGCGGGUGGCUUUGAAAGCCAUCUGCAGUGAAGGAUCCCUUAGCAAAGCUGUCCCUCAACACCUCCAUGCCAGUGCUUCUUCACAUUAAGACUCCAAGAAUGACCGUUUCCCGCGGGAAAGAGAGCAGCCGAACGCCAAACAUCAGCACAAACAGAAGGUGUUGGAGAGACUCCUUAGGAUCCGGAGACGGGCGGUGAAAUAUCUAAGAGGGCCUCUGAGGUAGCUGGUUAAAAUGCAGCCGCUGCACAGCCAAAGCCGGAACUGUCAGGGAACUGAAGCCCCCUGGCCCUGAACCAAAUCCCGGCACAGGAAAGCCAGGCUGUUUCUUACAGGAAACCCCAUCCAGCGAAUGCCCACUGCUGCCAGUGCCUGUGCGCACCCCGGAGACGCAUCAGACAACCAGCAAAACCAGGCCCAUUGGACUUCACAGAUCUCUCCUGGUGCAGCCGGUUCGGAACCUUGUGGAGUUGGCUGCCUGCCCGAGAAACACAUGUGCAAUCCCACCCUUCCUCAACCAACCUACACACUGAAUGUACAUGCCAACUAGAUGCCACGUGAGUGAUAUACUCAGACAAGAGAGGAUGCUGUCCCUAUUUCCAGAUGCUUCGAGUAGGAGCUAAGGUGAAGGUGGUGGAGGUCUCUAGUCGGAUGCUCAAUUCAGACCCCUUUUAAAUGUACUCUAUCGAGGGUGAUUACCCUACAUAAUCAACAUUUUAACAAGAACCUCUGGAGUCACUGUUAAUCACCUCAGUACUCCUUCAUGUCCAUGGCUCACUCUGCAACACAGAGAACCAGGCUUCAACCAGGAAUGCAUUCACCAGAUCUGCUUCCGAAGACACUGGGACAUUCCUCCAAGGCUUGAGUGCAGAAGUCUGUCUUCAGUCCACUCACUGGUCAGCCACAGCCAUCCACGGGUCCAUUCACAGAUGUAGUCGGGCGGGGUGGGGGGCAGCGGCAAUGGUCUUGAAUUUGCAGAGAUUCUCUUCACACUUGACGUUUGGUGGAGGGACAAGGCUGGGCAAUUAAAAUAUGGUUGGACCCACCUCCUCAGAGUAGAGGGAGAUUCUCUGCUGUCUUGUCAGCAAAAGAUGCACCAAUGUGCAGGGAAGGAAGAACACAGAGAUACAGAAUUCUAUCAAUCAGUGUUUUGAUGGGCCGGGAAGGAGAUGAAUUUAAUCUUCUCUUUAAUUGUUUGUCAUUGCAUACAAGCUGAAAGCUAAGGUGGCGCUCACAAAUCUGCCUUUCUCCCCAGCAACUGAAUUUUAAUAUCAAGGCAGUGAAGGUCAUUGCAGAAUUUGCCUUAUGUUUGUAUGAACUAAAUCUGGAGACAAUCUCAAAUAUUUACACUCAGUGCCAACUCCGUUCUUUAAAGGGUAGGAGGGAAAGGUGAAUGCCACGUGUAGGUCCUGUGGAUGCCCUCCAAUCCCACGCUCCUCUCUGGAGGAGGAGAGAGUGACAGGACACUGGAGAUGCUGCUAGGAGAGACUGAGCUCGCCAAUCACUUCCCUGCUGCAAGGAGGACUAGGGAUAUCUCUCCCACCAACUUACAACCCAGCCUCAAGGCUACUGACUCAAGACACAGAAACAAGAUCGGGUGUCAGGACAUACAAUACAAAUUCUGAAAGUAACAAAGUUACAUUGCCUUUCAUUGUCUGUUUCAUCUAAUUUUAGGUGAGCCAAUUUGAUUGCAACAUGUGGAUCUAAAUAGUAUGAGGACGAUUUUGUUAAUUAACCCUGUCAUGUUACACAAAUAAGGUAUUUUUUUCCCUUAAAUUCUUACACCUGCUGUAUUAAUCUGUUCUGUUACCAAAAUGAAAUGCUCAAGGUAGAAUAGUUUCUUAAGAGAAUAAGGAAGAGGAGGAGGAAGAAAAAUUGGAAAAUGAAGCUGUUGUUUGUCUGGAGUUAAAUUCUGGAGGCACAAAGGUAGAAAGGGCUGUGCCUGGUGAUGGCUUCUUGCCAGCACCGUCCUAAAACCACAAACACAGAGGGUGUCAAACGCCAAGAGACGGGGAGCAUCGCUGGUCUCUUCCUCCUCUAGAAACUCAGGAGGAUCCAGCCACGGACAUUAUCUAAUCCCUUCCCAGAAACCCAACCAUAAAGCUCAUAGGUCCUUUAGCUUUAACCCUCUAACAGCUUGUGAUACAGAUCAAAUUUCAACCCAGGAAGCCUUGGGAGACACUCAACCCAUCUGGCCCAUGGCAUUUGGAAGUUGGUAUUUCUUCCAGGGCUUGCCAUACACAGCACAGGAAAUUUUCAGAAUUCUUUCUCAGACGUUGCUUUUGGUUUCCUGGCUGUUGUGAAGUGCACAGUGGUAGCAAGCAAUUCUUCAGGACUGCAACUGACUUAAAGUUCCUGCCCUCAUAAUUUUUGUCCUCGGGGGUCCUUUUACUCAGGUAAAAUUUAUUAUGACUUCAAAGGGCUUUUUUCAUGUGACCUGAAUGCUGUUAUUAACCAUGUCAGGAAACAGCAUAGAAAAUUUAAAUUAGUUAUCACCUUAUUAGUUAUUACCUUAGAACAAUAACAAAUAUAUUACAUUACCACUUUGUUAACGUUUAUAUUAAUAUUUUUAUGAAAUUUCUCCAAAACAAAAGAGGCUUCUGUGGGAGGGACGAUGUUAUUUUAUAUCGUUUUUUAAGCCGUUGUGCUGUCAGGCUAACAGAACAACUGCGUUUCUAUGCAGUUCCACUCAGGACCUACUGCAAUAUCUUUUUAACUGAGCACAUAAAGAAAGGCUGGUCUUUUGCUGAUUUGUAAGUGAAAGGGGGGAUUGUUUUAAAGUCUUUCCAGGCCACAGUAGCCUUCUUUGAUACUGUGCCAAAGUUCAACAAAUGAUGGUUUCUUGGUAGUUCCCAGCAAAGUAGAAUUUGAAGCAAGACCAACAAACUUCUCGUAUUUUGCUGCAUCAAAACCCAGUCUGUCUUCUACUUAAAAAAAAAAAAAAAAGUCAUUUCAGGAGCUAAAAUGUCUUUGUGGGAAGAUAAGUUUCUGUCUUUUGAUGUCAAAUAUUUUAGUCAGUACCAAGCUUCAUCUUUUGAAGUCAAUUAAGACAAUUCAUGAAGAUGACCUACUGUAAGCAUUGAGACUGCCUUCGAUCAGACAGCUUAUGAGAAGCUGGGUUGUGUCAAAAGCCACAAAACUUAACACCAUCAAACAAAAGAAAGAUGUGUUUUAUCCCAGUGAGGCCCAAUUGCUUUAAGCCAUAUUCCAAAGUCUGUGUUUGGUAAAAGGAUGUUUUAGAUAUCGUAUGGGUUCCACUGAACAGGGAUUUUCUACUGCACUGAUGCAAACAUUCCAUUCCAUCUUUCCUCUGGAAGUGUGACUUGUGGGGACAGAGUUUAACACAGGUGAAUCACAAACUCCAGUGACCUCAUUGGAUCUCAUGAAGAUAGUGAAAGGAGAAAAGCUAGACUGGUGAGCACACUGAGACUGGGCUGCCUGAAACUCGAUCACACGGCUUCCUGGCCAGCAAACAAAAGAAAGAUGUGUUUUAUCCCAAUGAGGCCCAAUUGUUUUAAGCCAUAGUCCAAAGUCUCUGGUAAAAGGAUGUUUUAGAUAUCGUAUGGGUUAUGUAAUUAUUAUAUAUAGUUUAUCUACAUAAACUGAGUGCUCACAAACUAGAAUAUUUUAGCUCACUUCUAAUUUCUCUUUCAUCACCCAAUCCCAAUUGAAAAAAACGUAAAAUUGUGUCCAUGGAUUCAGGAAAAAAAAAAAAGUUAGACAUUUUGUCAUGCAAUGUCGAUUUUUAAACUAUAUUUUAAACCAAAGUCAGAGAUGACAUUUUACUAAUAUGGGAAAAAGAUGUUGAAAUAAUUUUGUAAUGUUCUUAUAAGUUGCAAAGUUAGCCACAAUUGAAAUUAUUAUCUAUUUUAUCUGUCUUGAUGAUAUUCUCUCAAAUAUAAUAAACUGGGGCUCAGGGUCUUGAAAUAGGCAAUAAAACUGAUACUUACAAAAAAUGACUAAGGAUAGGUGGAAUGCCAUUAAUUAAGCAAUAAUCCCUUUGAAAUCAGUCAUUACCAGCAGUUUUUUGCUAUGGGCCAUUAACACUCUAACUAGCAAGUCAUUAAUAGUGGUAAUAACCAAUUCUGAGGGGACUGCUGGUUGGAUAAACUAUAUAUAAUAAUUUUAAACUCCAAAAGAUUUCAUACUUUUAUGUUAACCUUUGAAUCAUAAGUGAGUUCAGGCAGAAUUGUCUGGCUCAUUUUAAAAACAUAAACAUUGCCCUCCUCCCUUUGUCUGUUCCCAUGCCUUGGCCUAACUUGUCUGAGCACUUGAGAAUGGGGUUCCGCACACUGCGGGAAUACAGAGGGAUGUCCCACCCUUUGACAUACAGACCUAUACAUUAGCAUUGUCUGCACUGUCUUUGUUCCUAAGGCUAGGCAUUAGUGUUCACUUCAUCUAUAAAAUGCAAGCUCACUUAGAAUCCAUUUCUGUCCAAUGUCACUGCAUGACUAUUUUUUGCACUACAGAAAUUUUGCACUAAUCAUAUAUGUAUACAUAUAUAUGUACAUAUAUAUGUAUAUAUUGAUGAUGAUGAUGAUGAUGUAAUGUGCUGUAGGUACAAAAACAACAGCCAAUAUGGGAACAGAUUCAACUGGAGGAGGCAGUGGAAACAUCCUGACCACUGACUAUUGGGCUAGCUAUACCUUGCUCCCUUGCACCCUGAAUGCUCCAACAGAAAUUUGGAUAGAAGCUCCUAAAAAUUAUUUCUUUCAAUUUUCUGAGAUUAUAAUUGCAUCCCCCCAUGUCCCUGAUCUCUCUCCAAAUCUUUCAUAUACCCCUCUUGCUCUUUAUCAAAUCCAUGGAGUGUUUUUGUUGUUGUUGUUGUUGUUGUUGUUAAUAGCUGUUUUACACACACACACACACACACACACACACACACACACACACACACUCCUAAACACAUAAGUAUAUCCUGCUCAGACUGUAUAAAGUUCUCCAUCUGUGUGUUUUCAGGGCUGGCCAUUUGCUGAUGGAUAAUGUAUUAGUGUGGUCUUCCCUAGGGAAAUACCUUGCCCUCAGUGUUCCUUAGCUCUUUGUGUAGUACGGAGGCCUCCUGGGCUUUCCUCCAUGUCUGUUACUCAUGUUUAGACAGUCAUGUUGGUGAGACACUAUGAGUAUAGUUUCUUACAUUACUCACAGUCUCACAGCAAACUCCCUGUUCCUCUGGCUCUUGCAAUCUUUCUGGCCCUUCUUCCACAAUUAUCCUUGAGCCUUAGAUGCAGUAGAAUAGUGUACUGUAGAUGUAUCCAUAGGGACUGGGCUCCACAACUCUGCCCUUGGAUUGGUUGCAUUUUCCUGUAAUGGUACACAUCUGUUGCAAAUAGAAGUUUCUUUGAGGAGAGACACAGAUUAUACUUAUCUGUGAUUAUAAAAUUAUAACUUAGUCAUGUAUUCUAUAAAUCUAGGAAAUUGGCGGUUAUAGGUUCUCUACCAUCCAUGGCGUCACUAGUCCUGGGUAGUUGGGUAGGUUUCUAGUUCUAGGCAAGAUUUACCUCUUGUUGAGAGGGUUUUAAAUACAAUUAUAGAGCUGUUGGUCACUGUAGUGGCUAUUCCUGGUUGUCAACUUGACAAUAUUUGGAAUGAACUACAAUC